AGUGAACGCUGGCGGUAGGCCUAACACAUGCAAGUCGAACGGCAGCACAGUAAGAGCUGGCUCUUACGGGUGGCGAGUGGCGGACGGGUGAGGAAUACAUCGGAAUCUACUUUUUCGUGGGGGAUAACGUAGGUAAACUUACGCUAAUACCGCAUACGACCUACGGGUGAAAGCAGGGGAUCUUCGGACCUUGCGCGAUUGAAUGAGCCGAUGUCGGAUUAGCUAGUUGGCGGGGUAAAGGCCCACCAAGGCGACGAUCCGUAGCUGGUCUGAGAGGAUGAUCAGCCACACUGGAACUGAGACACGGUCCAGACUCCUACGGGAGGCAGCAGUGGGGAAUAUUGGACAAAGGGCGCAAGCCUGAUCCAGCCAUACCGCGUGGGUGAAGAAGGCCUUCGGGUUGUAAAGCCCUUUUGUUGGGAAAGAAAAGCAGCAGGUUAAUACCCCGCUGUUCUGACGGUACCCAAAGAAUAAGCACCGGCUAACUUCGUG
This 492-nucleotide ribosomal RNA is filed under the name uncultured bacterium. RNAcentral describes it as "partial 16S ribosomal RNA". It matches the Rfam family "Bacterial small subunit ribosomal RNA", at positions 29 to 507 of the family's 1533-position model. The record is from RNAcentral.